UGAGGAAUAUUGGUCAAUGGACGAGAGUCUGAACCAGCCAAGUAGCGUGAAGGAUGACUGCCCUAUGGGUUGUAAACUUCUUUUAUACGGGAAUAAAGUGAGGCACGUGUGCCUUUUUGUAUGUACCGUAUGAAUAAGGAUCGGCUAACUCCGUGCCAGCAGCCGCGGUAAUACGGAGGAUCCGAGCGUUAUCCGGAUUUAUUGGGUUUAAAGGGAGCGUAGGCGGACGCUUAAGUCAGUUGUGAAAGUUUGCGGCUCAACCGUAAAAUUGCAGUUGAUACUGGAUGUCUUGAGUGCAGUUGAGGCAGGCGGAAUUCGUGGUGUAGCGGUGAAAUGCUUAGAUAUCACGAAGAACUCCGAUUGCGAAGGCAGCCUGCUAAGCUGCAACUGACAUUGAGGCUCGAAAGUGUGGGUAUCAAACAGGAUUAGAUACCCUGGUAGUCCACACGGUAAACGAUGAAUACUCGCUGUUUGCGAUAUACGGCAAGCGGCCAAGCGAAAGCGUUAAGUAUUCCACCUGGGAAGUACGCCGGCAACGGUGAAACUCAAAGGAAUUGACGGGGGCCCGCACAAGCGGAGGAACAUGUGGUUUAAUUCGAUGAUACGCGAGGAACCUUACCCGGGCUUAAAUUGCACUCGAAUGAUCCGGAAACGGUUCAGCUAGCAAUAGCGAGUGUGAAGGUGCUGCAUGGUUGUCGUCAGCUCGUGCCGUGAGGUGUCGGCUUAAGUGCCAUAACGAGCGCAACCCUUGUUGUCAGUUACUAACAGGUGAUGCUGAGGACUCUGACAAGACUGCCAUCGUAAGAUGUGAGGAAGGUGGGGAUGACGUCAAAUCAGCACGGCCCUUACGUCCGGGGCUACACACGUGUUACAAUGGGGGGUACAGAGGGCCGCUACCACGCGAGUGGAUGCCAAUCCCUAAAACCCCUCUCAGUUCGGACUGGAGUCUGCAACCCGACUCCACGAAGCUGGAUUCGCUAGUAAUCGCGCAUCAGCCACGGCGCGGUGAAUACGUUCCC
Molecule: ribosomal RNA, 1019 nt
Filed under: uncultured bacterium
Lineage: Bacteria
Description: bacterial SSU rRNA
Rfam family: Bacterial small subunit ribosomal RNA
Source: RNAcentral